RNAcentral lists this transfer-messenger RNA (345 nucleotides) under Actinomycetota (actinobacteria). RNAcentral's name for it is "Solincola_B sp013178005 Standard tmRNA". It matches the Rfam family "transfer-messenger RNA". Rfam says of the family: Bacterial tmRNA, also known as 10Sa RNA or SsrA, is named for its dual tRNA and mRNA-like properties. Lineage: Bacteria; Bacillati. The record is from RNAcentral. RNAcentral also lists the same sequence under 1 other name.
GGGGGCGAAACGGCUUCGACAGGGAUCGGCGGCCGGCGCGGGAGCGAGCCGGGGACCCGAGCCUCGUUAACAAGCGGGAAAACCAAUAGACGCCGACAGCGAGUUGGCUCUGGCCGCUUAAGCGGCCCGUCCCUCCCCGGAGGGCCCGCGACCGGGGAAGGGGCGUCAUGCAGCGGGAUCACCGAGGCCCCACUCCCGUAAAGGCCGAGGGAAAUCCUAACGGGAUAGCCGCCGGCAAGCCCUCCGCCGGGCGACCCGACGGCGAAACCUGAAACGGCGGAUACGCUCGUAGAGCCCACCCGGCCGGAUUUCUGGACGGGGGUUCGACUCCCCCCGCCUCCACCA